This is an RNA transcript of Lycium barbarum (goji berry), 831 nucleotides long. RefSeq lists it as uncharacterized. The transcript is spliced from 3 exons. Lineage: Eukaryota; Viridiplantae; Streptophyta; Magnoliopsida; Solanales; Solanaceae. The record is from RefSeq and is a predicted model, not a curated record.
UGUCUUCACCUGAAUCGGCCACCUGGCAAUUCCAUAUUUUACCCCAUACAUUAUCCUAAUUUAUUUUCGUUCCCACCCUCUUUCUCUUUCUCUCCUGUUUGUUCUGAAAGCAUUUGCACACUUUACGUUAUUUAACAGUUAAAAAUUACCCAUUCCAUCUUCAAAAUAACCAAUUUCAUCCAAGUUUUUGUAGGAGUUUCCCCAUGUAGAAUUUGCAUGUUUAUUCAUUUUCUUUCUUAAGAUCAAGUUUGUUCGCCGAUUUUGACUAGUAAUCCUCUUUAGAAAUCGAAGAAAACAACCCAUGAUUGCAAUGCUAUGUACAGGAUCACGGCUUUUUUUCCUUCUCAUUUUCUCUUCCAUUCUUUUUCCAUGCACCCUUGGAGGAUCUGAGUCUAAUUUUCUUUUAUCUAAACACCACCAAUUUCAGCUGAAUUUUAAAAGGGGGAGAAUGAACAUAAUGCGGUCCACUCUUGGGGUACAAAAAGAAUUCUUGCUGAAAGUCCGAAUUGUCAGCCUUCAUCACUUAUCUUGGCUGCCAACAGAACACACAGAAAAGAUCCUCUCAAUGAUUACAACAAAUAUAGCGGUGGAUGCAACAUCAGUGAGCCCCAUUACUGGGCUGUCAACAGACAGGUGGACGUGAUCCUUAGAAGCCCUACCAGCCGCACUUGACAGCGCUCCAGUUGUUUCGGAGCCUCACCUCAGCGGUACUAUUUUGUGUAUGUAUAUUCGGGCCCGACAGUACUCGGCCCUCUCUAUGUAUAAGUAUACUAUGUCUAGAGGCUCGUAGACAGAUAUGUACAGUCAGUCAGGUAUGGUUAGAUAUAUGGU